GCAAAACGCGAAGAACCUUACCUACCCUUGACAUGGUUGGAAUCCCGAAGAGAUUUGGGAGUGCUCGCAAGAGAACCAAUACACAGGUGCUGCAUGGCUGUCGUCAGCUCGUGUCGUGAGAUGUUGGGUUAAGUCCCGCAACGAGCGCAACCCUUGUCAUUAGUUGCUACAUUAAGUUGAGCACUCUAAUGAGACUGCCGGUGACAAACCGGAGGAAGGUGGGGAUGACGUCAAGUCCUCAUGGCCCUUAUGGGUAGGGCUUCACACGUCAUACAAUGGUACAUACAGAGGGCUGCCAAACCGCGAGGUGGAGCUAAUCCCAGAAAGUGUAUCGUAGUCCGGAUUGUAGUCUGCAACUCGACUACAUGAAGUUGGAAUCGCUAGUAAUCGCGGAUCAGCAUGUCGCGGUGAAUACGUUCCCGGGUCUUGUACACACCG
RNAcentral lists this ribosomal RNA (438 nucleotides) under uncultured bacterium. Its description in RNAcentral is "bacterial SSU rRNA". It matches the Rfam family "Bacterial small subunit ribosomal RNA", at positions 954 to 1392 of the family's 1533-position model. The record is from RNAcentral.